GUUAAGCGACUAAGCGUACACGGUGGAUGCCCUGGCAGUCAGAGGCGAUGAAGGACGUGCUAAUCUGCGAUAAGCGUCGGUAAGGUGAUAUGAACCGUUAUAACCGGCGAUUUCCGAAUGGGGAAACCCAGUGUGAUUCGUCACACUAUCAUUAACUGAAUCCAUAGGUUAAUGAGGCGAACCGGGGGAACUGAAACAUCUAAGUACCCCGAGGAAAAGAAAUCAACCGAGAUUCCCCCAGUAGCGGCGAGCGAACGGGGAGCAGCCCAGAGCCUGAAUCAGUGUGUGUGUUAGUGGAAGCGUCUGGAAAGGCGCGCGAUACAGGGUGACAGCCCCGUACACAAAAAUGCACAUGCUGUGAGCUCGAUGAGUAGGGCGGGACACGUGGUAUCCUGUCUGAAUAUGGGGGGACCAUCCUCCAAGGCUAAAUACUCCUGACUGACCGAUAGUGAACCAGUACCGUGAGGGAAAGGCGAAAAGAACCCCGGCGAGGGGAGUGAAAAAGAACCUGAAACCGUGUACGUACAAGCAGUGGGAGCACGCUUAGGCGUGUGACUGCGUACCUUUUGUAUAAUGGGUCAGCGACUUAUAUUCUGUAGCAAGGUUAACCGAAUAGGGGAGCCGAAGGGAAACCGAGUCUUAACUGGGCGUUAAGUUGCAGGGUAUAGACCCGAAACCCGGUGAUCUAGCCAUGGGCAGGUUGAAGGUUGGGUAACACUAACUGGAGGACCGAACCGACUAAUGUUGAAAAAUUAGCGGAUGACUUGUGGCUGGGGGUGAAAGGCCAAUCAAACCGGGAGAUAGCUGGUUCUCCCCGAAAGCUAUUUAGGUAGCGCCUCGUGAAUUCAUCUCCGGGGGUAGAGCACUGUUUCGGCAAGGGGGUCAUCCCGACUUACCAACCCGAUGCAAACUGCGAAUACCGGAGAAUGUUAUCACGGGAGACACACGGCGGGUGCUAACGUCCGUCGUGAAGAGGGAAACAACCCAGACCGCCAGCUAAGGUCCCAAAGUCAUGGUUAAGUGGGAAACGAUGUGGGAAGGCCCAGACAGCCAGGAUGUUGGCUUAGAAGCAGCCAUCAUUUAAAGAAAGCGUAAUAGCUCACUGGUCGAGUCGGCCUGCGCGGAAGAUGUAACGGGGCUAAACCAUGCACCGAAGCUGCGGCAGCGACGCUGAUGCGUUGUUGGGUAGGGGAGCGUUCUGUAAGCCUGCGAAGGUGUGCUGUGAGGCAUGCUGGAGGUAUCAGAAGUGCGAAUGCUGACAUAAGUAACGAUAAAGCGGGUGAAAAGCCCGCUCGCCGGAAGACCAAGGGUUCCUGUCCAACGUUAAUCGGGGCAGGGUGAGUCGACCCCUAAGGCGAGGCCGAAAGGCGUAGUCGAUGGGAAACAGGUUAAUAUUCCUGUACUUGGUGUUACUGCGAAGGGGGGACGGAGAAGGCUAUGUUGGCCGGGCGACGGUUGUCCCGGUUUAAGCGUGUAGGCUGGUUUUCCAGGCAAAUCCGGAAAAUCAAGGCUGAGGCGUGAUGACGAGGCACUACGGUGCUGAAGCAACAAAUGCCCUGCUUCCAGGAAAAGCCUCUAAGCAUCAGGUAACAUCAAAUCGUACCCCAAACCGACACAGGUGGUCAGGUAGAGAAUACCAAGGCGCUUGAGAGAACUCGGGUGAAGGAACUAGGCAAAAUGGUGCCGUAACUUCGGGAGAAGGCACGCUGAUAUGUAGGUGAAGCGACUUGCUCGUGGAGCUGAAAUCAGUCGAAGAUACCAGCUGGCUGCAACUGUUUAUUAAAAACACAGCACUGUGCAAACACGAAAGUGGACGUAUACGGUGUGACGCCUGCCCGGUGCCGGAAGGUUAAUUGAUGGGGUUAGCGCAAGCGAAGCUCUUGAUCGAAGCCCCGGUAAACGGCGGCCGUAACUAUAACGGUCCUAAGGUAGCGAAAUUCCUUGUCGGGUAAGUUCCGACCUGCACGAAUGGCGUAAUGAUGGCCAGGCUGUCUCCACCCGAGACUCAGUGAAAUUGAACUCGCUGUGAAGAUGCAGUGUACCCGCGGCAAGACGGAAAGACCC
Molecule: ribosomal RNA, 2064 nt
Filed under: Escherichia coli
Lineage: Bacteria; Pseudomonadati; Pseudomonadota; Gammaproteobacteria; Enterobacterales; Enterobacteriaceae
Description: partial 23S ribosomal RNA
Rfam family: Bacterial large subunit ribosomal RNA
Source: RNAcentral